AUUUAGAAAUGCCUGUUCUUUGCAGUUUUCACAUUCAUAACUGCUCCCAUAGUAAUUCAAAAUGUCCUUAGCCAUGUGGUCAGUGAUCCCUCCUAAUAAUAGAUUUAGCAAAUUUCUUCUUUUGAUCCAUUUUCAAUUUGGUACUAUGGCCUCUUGUUCGGCAGUUUGUACGCUUUGUUAUCCAGGUUUUGUUCCUUUUUAUCUGCUUUCUUUUUGGUGAUGGUUUCUUCAGAAGUUAUGAUGUUUGCCCAUGUAAAUACAGGGUUUGCAGGUGAUUGUCUUAGGCCACCUUGAAAGUAUGGCCAUGAAAAUAACUCUUGUGGCAAGCCAACAAAAAGAAAUUGCAUUAACGCUGCUUCCCUGUCCCUAACUAGUCCAGUUACGCUUGGGCAUUACAAGAGAUCGCAGGUCAGUGUGUAAUAUUAUGUACCUAUGUGCUGCAGUUUGACUCCCUAAGUAAAAGUGAGUUGUAUUUAUGUUUUUUAUUCAUGUCUUUUCAAAGAUUACCUUAACAUCCACGUGGAAAGAAGUAAAAAAAAUCAUUAAGGAAGAUCCUCGGUGUAUUAAGUUCUCCUCCAGUGACAGGAAAAAACAAAGAGAAUUUGAAGAAUAUAUCAGAGACAAAUAUAUCACAGCCAAAGCUGACUUCAGGACGCUUUUGAAAGAGACCAAAUUUAUAACAUAUAGUUAAUUUAGUGAAAGAUGUGAAAGUGAAAGCUUGUGAAAGAUGCUGGGAUUGGCAGCCCCGCAGACUGAAGUCCUCUGUUCAUCCACAGAACAGAUCCAAAAAAUUAAUCCAAGAAUCGGAUCAGCACCUGAAAGAUGUAGAAAAAAUUUUACAGAAUGACAAACGGUAUCUAGUACUGGACUGUGUGCCAGAGGAGAGGCGUAAACUGAUUGUGGCAUAUGUUGAUGACCUGGAUCGCCGGGGUCCACCCCCACCUCCCACAGCAUCGGAGCCCACGAGACGAUCAACAAAAUAAUUCUAAAUACUCUUCCAUAGGGGCAUCUAUUCAAAAUGCUUGCAUGAGCCAAUUUUCAGGUUUUUACAUAUAUGUGCAUUAGUCAACCUAUUGCGAAACCAUCUGACAAACAGAAGGAGAAGCAUUUGUGAACAGUUUCUGAACAGAACACUUUGGAAAUAUUUAUGCUUUUCUUUGUGUGGCAUGACUGACAUACAUACUCAAAUAUAGGCUGUCUCUAGUAAAUCUUAAAAUCUUGAAGCUAAAAUUCAUCCUUUUAUGAGGUGUGGAAGUCAGUGACUUGGUGACGUUCUUCCUAGCAGUGUUAAUACAUGCAAGAAGUAAGAGCAUUUGUGGCUUGAACUUGCCAGAUGCAAAUACCACAGACUCCAAGAAAACCCGAAUUGGGGUUUGUUUUGUUGUUUUUUUUUUUAAAGCGGGUAAAAGAGAAAACACUGAAAAUUGAAUUCUUAUCUUCCAGAGGCUACGAUUAUUAUAAUGGACAAUACUUUUACCUUUGUCUCUAAAGAUCAGAUUAGUUUUAUUUGUUCACUUACGUGCUUUGAUUAUCCCCUCUGAAUUAUAGACCAAGUCUUGUUGUUUAGCCUAAGAGAAGAUUUGUGUAGUAAUUUCUUCUCAGGUAUGGAACCACGGUCAUAACUAACAUGUUGGCCAGAAUAGAACCACUGGUUAAACAUAUUUUAUUCACCAUUAAGUGAUCUUUAUCAAUAUUCUGGAUUAGACAACAAAUUACCUUUCUGGGUGUUUCUUGUAAACUAUACUCCUGUUUGAAUGUUAAACUUUGUUGCUAAAGUUUAAUUUUAAGAUGUUUGAAUGUUCAGUUUAUGUAUUUGAACUACAAUAAACCAACCCUUUUUAU
RNAcentral lists this small RNA (1842 nucleotides) under Pan troglodytes (chimpanzee). RNAcentral describes it as "retained intron". Lineage: Eukaryota; Metazoa; Chordata; Mammalia; Primates; Hominidae. The record is from RNAcentral.